AGGAUUAACGCUGGCGGCGUGCCUAACACAUGCAAGUCGAACGAGGUAGCAAUACCUAGUGGCAGGCGGGUGAGUAGCGCGUGGUCAACCUACCGUUGAGUGGGGGAUAACUAGCCGAAAGGUUAGCUAAUACCGCAUACGUCUCCGAGGGGCAUCCCUUGGCGAUAAAAAGGAGCAAUCCGCUCGAUGACGGGACCGCGUCCCAUUAGCUAGUUGGUGGGGUAACGGCCUACCAAGGCAUCGAUGGGUAGCUGGUUUGAGAGAGCGACCAGCCACACUGGGACUGAGAUACGGCCCAGACUCCUACGGGAGGCAGCAGUGAGGAAUUUUCCGCAAUGGGCGAAAGCCUGACGGAGCGACGCCGCGUGUGGGAAGAAGGCCUUCGGGUCGUAAACCACUGUCGAAGGGGAAGAUAAUGACGGUACCCUUGGAGGAAGCCCCGGCUAACUACGCGCCAGCAGCCGC
RNAcentral lists this ribosomal RNA (465 nucleotides) under uncultured bacterium. RNAcentral's name for it is "SSU rRNA". It matches the Rfam family "Bacterial small subunit ribosomal RNA", at positions 26 to 518 of the family's 1533-position model. The record is from RNAcentral.